Molecule: non-coding RNA, 249 nt
Organism: Kogia breviceps (pygmy sperm whale)
Lineage: Eukaryota; Metazoa; Chordata; Mammalia; Artiodactyla; Physeteridae
Source: RefSeq, a predicted model, not a curated record
GCCCAAUGGGCGCCGAGCGAGUGUGAGAGACCCUCCCCGGGCGCGGCGGCGCGUGCGCACAAAGAAAAGGAAUUUAUUGGAAGGAAAUUGGAUAGCUAAAAUAAUAAAUAGGACGUCUGCAGAACCAAGCUUAGAAAUGGGAAGGAAUCAAGAGAGACUGGCCGGCAAAGACAUAGACUGAAACGUGGCUGUGUAAAGGAGCCAGCUUCAACCAUUGAAAUGAGAAUGUCCUAUAACCACAGGAAUGAG